ACAACGGCUCUUUUAAGAGCCACCUACUUAAUCCAUGAGAGUUCU
Chelonia mydas (Green sea turtle) is the source of this 45-nucleotide non-coding RNA. Lineage: Eukaryota; Metazoa; Chordata; Testudines; Cheloniidae. The record is from Rfam.